UUUGCUGCAGGUCUAGAAGAUGUUACAGAAUUUCAAGCAAGAGAGGUUGCUGUGGGAGGCCCGCCGCCUGCUGGCAAGGAAGAUGGUUGAUUCUUCUGAGCAAUGGAGGCCCCGCAGAGUCCUGCAGUCACUGUGGCCUGGCGUCCAUGGCGCACUCAAUGCUGGUGGAUGGCUCAAUAUGAGGCAAUUGCUGUGGGAGGCGUGGUGUAACUGCUGGAAGGAAGACACUCAAUUCUUCUGA
Molecule: long non-coding RNA, 241 nt
Filed under: Piliocolobus tephrosceles (Ugandan red Colobus)
Lineage: Eukaryota; Metazoa; Chordata; Mammalia; Primates; Cercopithecidae
Description: lncRNA (ENSPTEG00000038821.1)
Source: RNAcentral